Molecule: ribosomal RNA, 534 nt
Filed under: Triticum aestivum (bread wheat)
Lineage: Eukaryota; Viridiplantae; Streptophyta; Magnoliopsida; Poales; Poaceae
Description: partial small subunit ribosomal RNA
Source: RNAcentral
AUGGGAUCUCUUAUGCCUAAGGAAGGAAAUACCCCUAAGUAUGCCGAACUCUAUAUAUAUGAUACCCAGAAUGAGGUGCAAAACAGGAUUCAGGCUUUAGAAAAGGGUGAAAAGAGUGAUGGUGGUUUAGAUGAAUCUAUUGUUGAAGGCUUGAUGCAUAUGCUUGAUACACACAAUUCUUAUGUCAAAACGUUUAGAUCAGCUAGAGAAAUACUAGCAGCCAAUAAGCAUGCCGAGAUAGCCAUUCGUUUAGUUGCCCCUGGAGAAUCUGAUGGCCCACAGUUUAGCCUUCCUACAACUGAUGAGCUAGCAUCUUUAAUGUUUGGUGAGUUCACGGUGGAGGCUUCUUGCCGUGACAUAAUAAUACACGGUAGAGAUGACAAUCUGCAGCAAAUAUCUUCUUUGCAAACUUCAUAUAUGCCUUUGCAGUAUCCUCUUCUCUUCCCCUAUGCAGAACGUGGGUUUCGGCUCGGGCUUAAAUAUAUUGGUUUAGACCCUUUAGAUAUUAGCAAAAGAACCAGGCUCACUAUGUAG